Ceratotherium simum simum (southern white rhinoceros) is the source of this 281-nucleotide non-coding RNA. NCBI's taxonomy places the organism in Eukaryota, Metazoa, Chordata, Mammalia, Perissodactyla, Rhinocerotidae. The record is from RefSeq and is a predicted model, not a curated record.
CAGGCGCUCCACGCGUGACGGAAGUGACGGCAACUUCCUCCAGGCGCGUGGUAGGGUGAGAGGAAAGGGACAAUCUUGGUGAGGACGGUGAUACCAGCGGGAGGAGGCGCUGUGGAGACUGAAGACCGGUGUCUGAAGCGAAAGCACUCCCUGGUGGCCCGCGGCUCUGGAGACAAACUGAUCACUCUGUCAUAGAAUGUUGGAAGAAUACCUGGCCCACGGUCAAAGACAAAAAUGCCCCUGGCCCGGUCCCAGAAUCAACUCCUCAAAAAUCCAGAUAA